GAGAAGUUCAAGAGGGCGUGAAACCGCACAGAAGGAAACAGAUAGAGCUGAUAAACGUUGCUUCAUUCAUCCGAGUCGGGUUUGAACUGUUGACUUCUAUUUUGUGAAGGAGACUGACGGUUCAAUGCUUGAGGAGGUGUAUUUGUUGCAGCGAUGCUGAGACCGUUGCAGGAUUCGACAGAUCGUUGUGUAGAGCAACCAUUUAUGGAGAUGCUACACUUCGUUAUGUCUUUAUUUUGUGAUGGAAGGGAAUUUGCCUAGUGUGGCUUAAGUCAUGUAGUUGUCACUGUCGAUCGGAAUGCUAUACCAAACAGGUGCUGGUAAAGCUACUCUUCGGCUAAAGAUGGCUAUAAAAUGGCGUUCUUCUCAGUAGAAAAGUCAGUCACCUAUCUGACCCGUCUUGAAACACGGACCAAGGAGUCUAACAUGUGCGCAAGCUUAGAGGUGAAAAACCUGGAAGCGCAAUGAAGGUGAAAGUUGAUUAAUCGACUUAUAUGCGACCCUCUAUUUGAGGUGCAGCAUAGUCCGGUCUUGUCCGCUUGUCGGUGGGGCUGAGACAGAGCGUACACGUUGGGACCCGAAAGAUGGUGAACUAUGCCUGAGCAGGACGAAGCCAGAGGAAACUCUGGUGGAGGUCCGAAACGAUUCUGACGUGCAAAUCGAUCGUCAGACUUUGGUAUAGG
RNAcentral lists this ribosomal RNA (683 nucleotides) under Metalinhomoeus bifidosetus. Its description in RNAcentral is "partial large subunit ribosomal RNA". It matches the Rfam family "Eukaryotic large subunit ribosomal RNA", at positions 382 to 921 of the family's 3401-position model. The record is from RNAcentral. Lineage: Eukaryota; Metazoa; Nematoda; Chromadorea; Monhysterida; Linhomoeidae.